Molecule: transfer RNA, 65 nt
Filed under: Dipodomys ordii (Ord's kangaroo rat)
Lineage: Eukaryota; Metazoa; Chordata; Mammalia; Rodentia; Heteromyidae
Rfam family: tRNA
About the family: Transfer RNA (tRNA) molecules are approximately 80 nucleotides in length. Their secondary structure includes four short double-helical elements and three loops (D, anti-codon, and T loops).
Source: Rfam by way of RNAcentral
GGUGGCUCAGUGGUAGAGUACUUGCCUUGCAUGCAUGAGGCCUUGGGUUUGAUUCCUCAGCACCA